RNAcentral lists this ribosomal RNA (426 nucleotides) under uncultured bacterium. Its description in RNAcentral is "bacterial SSU rRNA". It matches the Rfam family "Bacterial small subunit ribosomal RNA", at positions 355 to 774 of the family's 1533-position model. The record is from RNAcentral.
UGGGGAAUUUUGGACAAUGGGGGCAACCCUGAUCCAGCCAUUCCGCGUGAGUGAAGAAGGCCUUCGGGUUGUAAAGCUCUUUCAGCUGGAACGAAACGGUGCGCUCUAACAUAGCGCGCUACUGACGGUACCAGCAGAAAAGCACCGGCUAACUACGUGCCAGCAGCCGCGGUAAUACGUAGGGUGCGAGCGUUAAUCGGAAUUACUGGGCGUAAAGCGUGCGCAGGCGGAUUGUUAAGCAAGACGUGAAAUCCCCGGGCUUAACCUGGGAAUGGCGUUUUGAACUGGCAGUCGAGAGUGCGUCAGAGGGGGGUGGAAUUCCACGUGUAGCAGUGAAAUGCGUAGAGAUGUGGAGGAACACCGAUGGCGAAGGCAGCCCCCUGGGAUGACACUGACGCUCAUGUACGAAAGCGUGGGUAGCAAACA